GUGUCAGCAGCCGCGGUAAUACGUAGGUGGCGAGCGUUGUCCGGAUUUACUGGGCGUAAAGGGCGCGCAGGCGGUUUGUUAAGUUCAGGGUGAAAGCUCCCGGCUCAACUGGGAGAGGUCCUUGGAUACUGGCAGACUUGAGGGAGGCAGAGGAAAGUGGAAUUCCCGGUGUAGUGGUGAUAUGCGUAGAUAUCGGGAGGAACACCAGUGGCGAAGGCGGCUUUCUGGGCCUUACCUGACGCUGAGGCGCGAAAGCGUGGGGAGCGAACCGGAUUAGAUACCCUGGUAGUCCACGCCGUAAACGAUGAAUGCCAGACGUCGGGCAGCAUGCUGUUCGGUGUCACACCUAACGGAUUAAGCAUUCCGCCUGGGGAGUACGGUCGCAAGAUUAAAACUUAAAGGAAUUGACGGGG
This 413-nucleotide ribosomal RNA is filed under the name uncultured prokaryote. RNAcentral's name for it is "bacterial SSU rRNA". It matches the Rfam family "Bacterial small subunit ribosomal RNA", at positions 505 to 918 of the family's 1533-position model. The record is from RNAcentral.